UUUGAUUGGUGAAAAUUAUCAAGAAUUAUGUUUUUAUUGAAGAAAUUUUUAUUUAAAAACUAUAUCUAUUGAGCAAUUCAGUACGUUGUUGCGAGAUCUUCAAGUUUCUCAUCCUCAAUUAGCCCUCCAACUUUGUGAUAAUUAAUUAAUCUGUUGCAUAUAUUACUCACAAUCAGGCCUCCAUGAGAGGAGAAAUAUAGAAAUUUUCACACCAGUCAAAACCACCACAAAAACUAAUCUGGGUUUUGAUUAUUUUGCAAUAGUAUUACCCAAAUAAAAGCAUGGAAAAGAAAAGAAGAAAAUCUACACUCAGUAUCAAGAUUUGCAUAACAACCAGGAAAGAGAUGAAGCCUUUAUCCAUUACACAUUUAGAGCAACAGAAACAAGCAGAAGAAAUCUGAAGAAACAAACUAGCUAUAUCUUGCUGCAUGUCAUGAUGAUCUGAUCAUUAAUAUAGCUUCAUCAAAUCUUGAGCUACCAAAUCAUGCCUUGAAGCAAGGAAGAAGAUACCCUAAAGAACCAUUUGAAUUUUGCGUUAUUAGGUUGCCAAAAAUAUCACCUAAGAAGGUGACCAUGCCAAAGGAUUAAGGUUGCCCUGUGGGAGACCUUUCUCUCCCAAAAUUUCUGAUAAAUCAUAGCCUUGCACUUAAUAAUCUCAGCCACCUCCCACCAGUCACCCGCUGCAUCGCCACCAAUUAACCAACCCACCGCUAAGGCAUUACAGGCACGGUGGGUGGUGUUAUCUGAUACGAGCUUAGCAUGGUGGAGGUGGCACUAAUGCUAAGAGAAAAGACUACUCAUCAUCAUCAUUACCUUGUUAUAUAGCUACAGAUAAGAACUAAGGCAGAGAUGGAGAGAGGCGAUGAUAUAAUAGGUUUAUAAAGAAGAAAGCAAAGUGAUUUAAAAAUGUCGGUUUCUUCUCCAAAAGGGUUAGCAUUGGCCGCAUCUUCCAAGGGAUAUGCGGCGACCACCUUCAUUGCUUCACAUUUGAUGACCACAUGCACCUUUCGUUCACUAUUUUUAUUAUAAUUUUUUUCUCUCCAUACCUUACUAAGGUAUAAUACUCUAAUAUUGUUUGUUUUAUAAACUUCACGUGCCACACGCUCCUUUCGGUUGGCCUAACAUGGCAAGCACAACAAGACAACACACAAGACUCGGGUUCUAGAGAGCGCAAAAUGUGAAGCAAGUCUAGCGCGUGAUGGUGAUGUGAGAUUGGUCUAAUGCUUCACUUUGCAGCUUCAAGUUCCUGCAAUUGCUUUCCUCUUUGUCUCCACUAAUUCUGUGAUUAAACCACUGGUUAUUAUUUAUAUAUUCUUUUUGUUUUUUGUUACUUUAGAACUGUUCUUGUGCUGGUAGAAGUUUUAAUAGCUUGAUUUAUCCUAAGAUUCCACACUCUUUUCCCCUGCCUUAGCUUCCCUUAUCUAUUUACUUGGCUUGUAGGUAAUCUGUGGCCGUGAAGAAGGAAUAUGGAAAUAAAUGGACUAAUUAUGGCGGGUUGCUCUUUAUUUCCAUCAAUAUCGUCAUACUUGAGUCAGUUCUAU
Molecule: long non-coding RNA, 1541 nt
Filed under: Ricinus communis (castor bean)
Lineage: Eukaryota; Viridiplantae; Streptophyta; Magnoliopsida; Malpighiales; Euphorbiaceae
Description: long non-coding RNA (RCOM_LNC001646)
Source: RNAcentral